RNAcentral lists this ribosomal RNA (471 nucleotides) under uncultured bacterium. RNAcentral's name for it is "bacterial SSU rRNA". It matches the Rfam family "Bacterial small subunit ribosomal RNA", at positions 329 to 793 of the family's 1533-position model. The record is from RNAcentral.
CUACGCACUCCUACGGGAGGCAGCAGUGGGGAAUAUUGCACAAUGGGCGCAAGCCUGAUGCAGCCAUGCCGCGUGUAUGAAGAAGGCCUUCGGGUUGUAAAGUACUUUCAGCAGUGAGGAAGGUGGGUAUGUUAAUAGCAUACUCAUUUGACGUUAGCUGCAGAAGAAGCACCGGCUAACUCCGUGCCAGCAGCCGCGGUAAUACGGAGGGUGCGAGCGUUAAUCGGAAUUACUGGGCGUAAAGCGCAUGCAGGUGGUUUGUUAAGUCAGAUGUGAAAGCCCGGGGCUCAACCUCGGAAUUGCAUUUGAAACUGGCAAACUAGAGUACUGUAGAGGGGGUAGAAUUUCAGGUGUAGCGGUGAAAUGCGUAGAGAUCUGAAGGAAUACCGGUGGCGAAGGCGGCCCCCUGGACAGAUACUGACACUCAGAUGCGAAAGCGUGGGGAGCAAACAGGAUUAGAUACCCUCGUAG